RNAcentral lists this ribosomal RNA (253 nucleotides) under uncultured bacterium. RNAcentral describes it as "partial 16S ribosomal RNA". It matches the Rfam family "Bacterial small subunit ribosomal RNA", at positions 524 to 776 of the family's 1533-position model. The record is from RNAcentral.
UACAGAGGGUGCAAGCGUUAAUCGGAUUUACUGGGCGUAAAGCGUGCGUAGGCGGUUCAUUAAGUCGGUUGUGAAAUCCCUGGGCUUAACCUGGGAACUGCAGUCGAUACCGGUGGACUAGAGUACGGUAGAGGGUGGCGGAACUCCGGGUGUAGCGGUGAAAUGCGUAGAUAUCCGGAAGAACACCGAUGGCGAAGGCAACCACCUGGGCCUGUACUGACGCUGAGGUACGAAAGCGUGGGGAGCAAACAGG